UCUGGUAAUGAUGGCAGAGAGGUCACACCCGUUCCCAUUCCGAACACGGAAGUUAAGCUCUCUAGCGCCGAUGGUAGUUGGGACCUUGUCCCUGUGAGAGUAGGACGUUGCCAGGC
Molecule: ribosomal RNA, 116 nt
Filed under: Bacillus sp. ABP14
Lineage: Bacteria; Bacillati; Bacillota; Bacilli; Caryophanales; Bacillaceae
Source: RNAcentral